RNAcentral lists this ribosomal RNA (845 nucleotides) under uncultured crenarchaeote. RNAcentral's name for it is "bacterial SSU rRNA". It matches the Rfam family "Archaeal small subunit ribosomal RNA", at positions 77 to 922 of the family's 1478-position model. The record is from RNAcentral. Lineage: Archaea; Thermoproteati; Thermoproteota.
CAAGGCAGACGGCUCAGUAACACGUAGUCAAUCUACCCUGUAGACGGGGAUAACCUCGGGAAACUGAGAAUAAUACCCGAUAGACCACCUUGUCUGGAACGACCUGUGGUUCAAAUGAUUUAUCGCUAUAGGAUGGGACUGCGACCUAUCAGUUUGUUGGUGAGGUAAUGGCCCACCAAGACGAUUACAGGUACGGGCUCUGAGAGGAGAGGCCCGGAGAUGGGUACUGAGACACGGGCCCAGGCCCUAUGGGGCGCAGCAGGCGAGAAAACUUUGCAAUGUGCGAAAGCACGACAAGGUUAAUCCGAGUGUUUCCUGUUAAAGGAAUCUUUUGCCAGUCCUAGAAACACUGGUGAAUAAGGGGUGGGCAAGUUCUGGUGUCAGCCGCCGCGGUAAAACCAGCACCUCAAGUGGUCAGGAUGAUUAUUGGGCCUAAAGCAUCCGUAGCCUGCUGUUUUAGUUUUCGGUUAAAUCCAUGCGCUCAACGUAUGGGCUGCCGGAAAUACUGCACAGCUAGGGAGUGGGAGAGGUAGACGGUACUCGAUAGGAAGGGGUAAAAUCCUAUAAUCUACUGAUGACCACCUGUGGCGAAGGCGGUCUACUAGAACACGUCCGACGGUGAGGGAUGAAAGCUGGGGGAGCAAACCGGAUUAGAUACCCGGGUAGUCCCAGCUGUAAACCAUGCAAACUCAGUGAUGCGUCGAGUUUAAGCUCAACGCAGUGCUGCAGGGAAGCCGUUAAGUUUGCCGCCUGGGAAGUACGUACGCAAGUAUGAAACUUAAAGGAAUUGGCGGGGGAGCACCACAAGGGGUGAAGCCUGCGGUUCAAUUGGAGUCAACGCCGGA